This is a long non-coding RNA of Helianthus annuus (common sunflower), 2241 nucleotides long. RefSeq lists it as uncharacterized. Lineage: Eukaryota; Viridiplantae; Streptophyta; Magnoliopsida; Asterales; Asteraceae. The record is from RefSeq and is a predicted model, not a curated record. The transcript has 8 exons.
GUUAGGUUUCCUAUCUUCUGGGGAUUCAGAUCGCGUUGGUUUUAGACGACGCUCCCAUGUUGUCCACUUCCCGUAAUUUAGCUGCAGUUGAAGACGAUUUUUGGUUUUGUACAAGAAUGCAGUUGUUAAAAGAGUGGGUAUAAAACUAGGUAUGAAACCUUUUCUUGCGUUCUUCUUCCUCUCUUCUCCCAGACUCCAACAUAAAUACGAUUCACUAGUUUAAAUCGAUCGGUAUGAACAACAUCGAAAGUUUUUAGAGUUUUUUCAUCAAAAUCUACAGUAAAACGAGGAGAUUCAAACAGGGUUGUGUUGUUCUAGGCUGGUAGUUAUACGACGAACUGGUGGUAUGUUCGAUGCCCUUUUCAUCACUGCCGACUUUGGUUUUUCGGUUGCCCCUCAUCCCUCCCGGGUCUAUUGAGCACAGAUUCGUGUAAAAAUCCUUUGGAUGCUGUAAUUGAAGGGCGAAAUUGAAGCGUAACGGGUGAUGACUUUCUGGGUUUAAGUUUUUAUGAAGCGGGAAAAGCUUUAUAUUCUGCAAAACACUUACUGUUCUCGUGAAUUAGAGAAAAUAGGCGAAGAACUUCACUUCACGUAUCAAGUCAUUUGUAUUCAAUUUGGAACAUUAAGCCAUUAAGGUUCUGUUCAUCUUAUAAAGAUAAACCACUAUUCAUCAAUCUACAAAUUUCGGACUAAAAGAACGAAGGUUGGAAGGAGAAGAAUACAUCUCCAUAGUGGACGAAUUGAUGGAAGCCCUUCAUACACGUUGUCCAAAAGCUCUUAUCUAGUUAGAAGAUUUACAAUCCAAGUGGGCUUUUGAGAUUCUUCAAAGAUACAUAAACAAGUACAGGUCCAUUACUAAAUUUUCACCAAGAUUUGAUCUUUUUUUGUUCUGCAUGUUUUAAUUUGCAAUUGGAAUAAAGGGUACUAUAUCUAAAUAGUUUUGUGUCAUUAUGAUUGAGCAAGGAUUGCCAUGGACUGCAGAGAUGAUGCACGAAAGUCGAAACUGGAAACAUCGGCGCGUGCGCGAGAUGCUAAUUCUUUGGUUGAUUUUCCAUCAAAAAUAGGAGAAGUUGAGGACAUGUUGAGUCGGUUGUUUGCUAUCUGGUUUAGAUCUGUCUCAGUAGCUACAAACACAGAAAAACUAACCCUCGGCAACGACACGGUGGCAAUGGGUGGCGAUGCAGUUUGUUGUGGCGGCGAUGUUCAUCAGAAUCUAACGAGACGGGUAGGGACUUUACUCGUAUUGUCGACCUUUUAGAGUGUUGAGGAAUCAAAGACAUUGAUUAAAAGGCACGGAUUGUCAAAGCUGCAAACAGCGAACCUUAAUUUACAAUCAACACAAAGCUAAUCCAAUCCAAUUGUUAUCCAUUCAAGUGAGCCGCUGGUUGUUAUCCAUCCAACACUGAGGUGAAAUUAUCUAUCUGUAAGGAUCUUUGAUAAAUUUAUUUGUUAACUUCUGAUUUAAGAUACAAAAAUUUGAAAUUAUAUGUUUAUUUUAAUAAUUUUUGUAUUUGAUGUGAUGUGUUCUAGGUGUUUGAUGAAAUGUUAGAUAUGUUCAAAUGGAGCAACUGUCUAAAUUCUCUUUGUUUUAUUUUUUUAUGUUUUCCAAAUGCCUCUUUUCUACUAAUAACUUGUACACUUGUACACAAUUGGAGCAUAUGUAGAAUGCAUCAGCAGUAGAGUAUGUCUUUCGAUAGUGUCUCGCCUGGCUAUUAAGAAUGCCUCACUACCGCUCAAUGGCAAAUUGACUGGAAUGGCUUUUGGUGUACCAACCGUGGACGGUAUGCGUGUGGGUGAAGAUCCAGGUCCCAGAUGCAUUUACUUUGGUCGACAUGAUGGUUAAGUAUAGUCGUUUGAGUCUGGAUAUGGCAGGGAACGAAGGUGGGUCAUACACGCAAUCUUUAAUCCGAUGGAGGAUUUAGAACAGCUGCAAUGAGAGGGUGUUCAACCGGAAUUAUAAAAUGACCUCUGCAGUGAUGGAUGAGAUAAAAGAGUCCUGGUGGGCGACUAAAAUGCUUAAAAUCAGAAGUAUCAGGUCGACUAACUGGGCAGCUUCAGUGGGCUCGAUUUUGGCUAGGCUUUGUUGUCAGUUAGUAUUGGGGCCUUUCUGUUGUAUUGUUUUUUCUUUUUGCUUUGUCUCUUCAACUGUCAUGAGUUCAAACUCGAUAAGUGACAAAUUGUUGUCUUCCUUAAUAGAAAAAUCAGCUGGUUCUGUUACUUCAACACGACCCCAUUUGUCAA